GAUGAACGCUGGCGGCGUGCCUAAUACAUGCAAGUCGAGCGAACAGAUAAGGAGCUUGCUCCUUUGACGUUAGCGGCGGACGGGUGAGUAACACGUGGGUAACCUACCUAUAAGACUGGGAUAACUUCGGGAAACCGGAGCUAAUACCGGAUCAUAUUUCGAACCGCAUGGUUCGGUAGUGAUAGAUGGUUUUGCUGUCACUUAUAGAUGGACCCGCGCCGUAUUAGCUAGUUGGUAAGGUAACGGCUUACCAAGGCGACGAUACGUAGCCGACCUGAGAGGGUGAUCGGCCACACUGGAACUGAGACACGGUCCAGACUCCUACGGGAGGCAGCAGUAGGGAAUCUUCCGCAAUGGGCGAAAGCCUGACGGAGCAACGCCGCGUGAGUGAUGAAGGUCUUCGGAUCGUAAAACUCUGUUAUUAGGGAAGAACAUACGUGUAAGUAACUGUGCACGUCUUGACGGUACCUAAUCAGAAAGCCACGGCUAACUACGUG
Molecule: ribosomal RNA, 497 nt
Filed under: uncultured bacterium
Lineage: Bacteria
Description: partial 16S ribosomal RNA
Rfam family: Bacterial small subunit ribosomal RNA
Source: RNAcentral